AGCAGUCGCCGCGGGAAUACGAAGGGGGCUAGCGUUGCUCGGAAUCACUGGGCGUAAAGGGUGCGUAGGCGGGUCUUUAAGUCAGGGGUGAAAUCCUGGAGCUCAACUCCAGGACUGCCUUUGAUACUGAAGAUCUUGAGUUCGGGAGAGGUGAGUGGAACUGCGAGUGUAGAGGUGAAAUUCGUAGAUAUUCGCAAGAACACCAGUGGCGAGGGCGGCUCACUGGCCCGAUACUGACGCUGAGGCACGAAAGCGUGGGGAGCAAACAGGAUUAGAUACCCGCGUAGUCCCUGUCUCUUAUAC
Molecule: ribosomal RNA, 303 nt
Filed under: uncultured bacterium
Lineage: Bacteria
Description: partial 16S ribosomal RNA
Rfam family: Bacterial small subunit ribosomal RNA
Source: RNAcentral